AGCCUGAACGCUGGCGGCGUGGCUAAGACAUGCAAGUCGCACGGACCCGCAAGGGUUAGUGGCGAACGGGUGAGUAAUGAAUCGCUAAUGUGCCCCGGACCCCGGGAUAGCUACCCGAAAGGGUAGGUAAUACCGGAUGACAUCGCCCCCCGGCAUCGGGGGGCGCUCAAAGGUCCGCCGGUCCGGGAGCAGGCGAUUUCGAUCAGCUAGUUGGUGGGUAACGCCCACAAGGCGACGACGCGUAGCCGGACUGAGAGGUCGGCCGGCCACAUUGGGACUGAGACACUGCCCAGACUCCUACGGGGGGCUGCAGUAACGAAUCUUCCGCAAUGCCCGCAAGGGUGACGGAGCGACGCCGCGUGUGGGACGAAGUCCUUCGGGAUGUAAACCACUGUCAGGGUUACCAAGUUCUGAGGAGCCCCGAGAGGAAGGCACGGCUAACUCUGUGCCAGCAGCCGC
RNAcentral lists this ribosomal RNA (459 nucleotides) under uncultured soil bacterium. RNAcentral describes it as "bacterial SSU rRNA". It matches the Rfam family "Bacterial small subunit ribosomal RNA", at positions 26 to 518 of the family's 1533-position model. The record is from RNAcentral.